This 1436-nucleotide ribosomal RNA is filed under the name uncultured bacterium. RNAcentral describes it as "bacterial SSU rRNA". It matches the Rfam family "Bacterial small subunit ribosomal RNA". The record is from RNAcentral.
AGAGUUUGAUCCUGGCUCAGAACGUACGCUGGCGGCACGCCUAACACAUGCAAGUCGAACGAAGUAGCAAUACUUAGUGGCAGACGGGUGAGUAACAUGUAGGUAUCUGCCCUUUGGCCUGGAAUAACACGAGGAAACUUGUGCUAAUACCGGAUAAGUCUUUACGGAGAAAGCUUUAUGCACCAUUGGAUGAGCCUGCACUUGAUUAGUUUGUUGGUGGGGUAAUGGCCUACCAAGACUGUGAUCAAUAGCUGAUUUGAGAGGAUGAUCAGCCACAUUGGGACUGAGACACGGCCCAAACCCCUACGGGAGGCAGCAGUGGGGAAUCUUGCACAAUGGAGGAAACUCUGAUGCAGCGAUGCCGCGUGAGUGAAGAAGGCUCUUGGGUUGUAAAGCUCUUUCGUCGGGGAAGAAAAUGACUGUACCCGAAUAAGAAGGUCCGGCUAACUUCGUGCCAGCAGCCGCGGUAAUACGAAGGGACCUAGCGUAGUUCGGAAUUACUGGGCUUAAAGAGUUCGUAGGUGGUUGAAAAAGUUGGUGGUGAAAUCCCAGAGCUUAACUCUGGAACUGCCAUCAAAACUUUUCAGCUAGAGUAUGAUAGAGGAAAGCAGAAUUUCUAGUGUAGAGGUGAAAUUCGUAGAUAUUAGAAAGAAUACCAAUUGCGAAGGCAGCUUUCUGGAUCAUUACUGACACUGAGGAACGAAAGCAUGGGUAGCGAAGAGGAUUAGAUACCCUCGUAGUCCAUGCCGUAAACGAUGUGUGUUAGACGUUGGAAAUUUAUUUUCAGUGUCGCAGCGAAAGCGAUAAACACACCGCCUGGGGAGUACGACCGCAAGGUUAAAACUCAAAUGAAUUGACGGGGACCCGCACAAGUAGUGGAGCAUGUGGUUUAAUUCGAAGAUACGCGCAGAACCUUACCAACACUUGACAUGUUCGUCGCGACUUUAAGAGAUUAAAGUUUUCGGUUCGGCCGGACGAAACACAGGUGCUGCAUGGCUGUCGUCAGCUCGUGUCGUGAGAUGUUGGGUUAAGUCCCGCAACGAGCGCAACCCUCACUUUUAGUUGCCAUCAUUUAGUUGGGCACUCUGAAAGAACUGCCAGUGAUAAGCUGGAGGAAGGUGGGGAUGACGUCAAGUCCUCAUGGCCCUUACGUGUUGGGCUACACACGUGCUACAAUGGUAUCUACAACAGGAAGCAAAACUGCGAAGUUAAGCAAAUCCUUAAAAGAUACCUCAGUUCGGAUUGCACUCUGCAACUCGAGUGCAUGAAGCUGGAAUUACUAGUAGUCGUGGAUCAGCGUGCCACGGUGAAUGCGUUCCCGGGUCUUGUACACACCGCCCGUCACACCAUGGGAGUUGGUUCUACCUUAAGGCAAGGUUUCAAACCCUUGACCACGGUAUAGUCAGCGACUGGGGUGAAGUCGUAACAAGGUAACC